This 287-nucleotide signal recognition particle RNA is filed under the name Vombatus ursinus (common wombat). RNAcentral describes it as "Metazoan signal recognition particle RNA (ENSVURG00010022073.1)". It matches the Rfam family "Metazoan signal recognition particle RNA". Rfam says of the family: The signal recognition particle (SRP) is a universally conserved ribonucleoprotein. It is involved in the co-translational targeting of proteins to membranes. The record is from RNAcentral. Lineage: Eukaryota; Metazoa; Chordata; Mammalia; Diprotodontia; Vombatidae.
GGUUGUAUAUAGCUGUAAUCCCUGUUACUUGGGAAAGUGGAGGCUGGUAGAUUGCUUGAGUUAGGGAGUUCUGAGCUGCAAGAGGGCUAAAGCUGAUCAGGAGUCCACACUAAGUCCAACACCAAUAUGGCGGGCCCAUGGGAGCACCAGGCUGUCUAAGGAGAGGUGAACUGAUCCAGGUCAGAAAAAAAGAGGUUAGAGCUUCUGUGCCAAUCUGUAUUGGGAUUGGGCAUAUGAGUGGCUGCUGCAUGUUCCAGCCUAGGUGAGAUGGGGCAAUACAGCCUCAA